UACCUGCGGCCCGAGUUGUGACCAUUAUUAUUGAGUCUAAAGCGUUCGUAGCUGGUUUGGAUAGUUUGUGCUUAAAUCUUUUCGUUUAACGGAAAGGCAUGGUAUAAAUACUUCCAGACUAGAGGCCGGGAGGGGAGAUGGGAACUUUUCGGGUAGGAGUAAAAUCCUUUAAUCCGAAAAAGACCACCAAUAGCGAAGGCACAUCUCCAGAACGGACCUGACGGUGAGGGACGAAGGCUAGGAGAACAAACCGGAUUAGAUACCCGGGUAGCCCUAGCAGUAAACGCUGCUUACUAUACGUUGCAUUUCCCUGAGGAAAUGCAGUGUGACAGCGAAGGCGUUAAGUAAGCCACUUGGGGAGUAUAAUCGCAAGGUCGAAACUUAAAGGAAUUGGCGGGGGAGCACAAAAACGGGUGAAAUUUGCGGUUCAAUUGGAUUCAACUCCGGGAAUCUUACCAGAAGCGACAGCAAUAUGAAGGUCAGCCUGAAGAGCUUACCAAAUGCGCUGAAAGGUGUUGCAUGGCCAUCAUCAGUUAGUAUCUUGAGACGUCCCGUUAAGUCGGGUAACUAACAAGACCCUCUUCUAUAUUUGCUAACAUGCAAUCCGUUGUGAAUGAGCAAAAUAUAGAGACUGCUUUCGAAAGAAAGAGGAAGGCGAGGGCGACGGUAGGUCAGUACGACCCUAAUCCUCUGGGCUACACGCGAAUUGCAAUGGUAAAGGCAAUAGGACGCCACUCCGAAAGGAGGAGCUAAUCCCCGAAUCUUUACCCUAGUUCGGAUCGAGGUCUGUAACUCGGCCUCGUGAAGGCGGAAUCCGUAGUAACCGCGUUUCAACAAAGCGCGGUGAAUACUUUCCUGCUCCU
RNAcentral lists this ribosomal RNA (863 nucleotides) under uncultured archaeon. RNAcentral's name for it is "bacterial SSU rRNA". It matches the Rfam family "Archaeal small subunit ribosomal RNA", at positions 474 to 1337 of the family's 1478-position model. The record is from RNAcentral.